AGUGGCGGACGGGUGAGUAACACGUGAGGAUCUGCCCAUAGGACGGGGACAACAGUUGGAAACGACUGCUAAUACCGGAUGAGCCGAGAGGUAAAACUUUUUAAGGCCUAUGGAGGAACUCGCGGCUGAUUAGCUAGUUGGUGGGGUAAAGGCCUACCAAGGCACUGAUCAGUAGCUGGUCUGAGAGGAUGAUCAGCCACACUGGGACUGAGACACGGCCCAGACUCCUACGGGAGGCAGCAGUGGGGAAUUUUCCGCAAUGGGGGCAACCCUGACGGAGCAACGCCGCGUGAGGGAAGAAUGGUUGUGGCCAGUAAACCUCUUUUAAUAGGGAAGAAUACUGACGGUACCUAUUGAAUAAGCAUCGGCUAACUCCGUGCCAGCAGCCGCGGUAAUACGGAGGAUGCAAGCGU
RNAcentral lists this ribosomal RNA (413 nucleotides) under uncultured bacterium. RNAcentral describes it as "bacterial SSU rRNA". It matches the Rfam family "Bacterial small subunit ribosomal RNA", at positions 94 to 541 of the family's 1533-position model. The record is from RNAcentral.